GGUCCUGUUUGCUUAUUAUAGAUACAGAUAUCUUUCUUUUUUGCUCCUAAAAGAACUACAAUAUCCUUCUAAUGUUGUAAUCAUAUGCUCGGAAUGCUAAGUUAAUAACAGAAUUCUUAGUAGUUAGUUUGGUUAGUUUGGUCACCAAGACUAUUUCUUGUUCUUUAUGGUGCUCAGCCUCCAGGGGCACAAUUGGCAAAAUUAUGUGACUAAGCCUUUUGUGCC
This 225-nucleotide long non-coding RNA is filed under the name Elaeis guineensis (African oil palm). Its description in RNAcentral is "long non-coding RNA (EGUI_LNC019331)". The record is from RNAcentral. Lineage: Eukaryota; Viridiplantae; Streptophyta; Magnoliopsida; Arecales; Arecaceae.